Vidua chalybeata is the source of this 528-nucleotide long non-coding RNA. RefSeq lists it as uncharacterized. The transcript is spliced from 3 exons. The record is from RefSeq and is a predicted model, not a curated record. Lineage: Eukaryota; Metazoa; Chordata; Aves; Passeriformes; Viduidae.
ACAGCAUGUUGCCAUCAAAAGGACUUGAAUCCCAAAUGUGCUUUACAGAAAGAGAAGAAACUAUGGAAGAUAAUUUAAGAAGAGCUCUAGUAUGUAUGCUCAUUAUCUCCAUUUUCGGCUGUAGCUGCUGUUUUGAUCAGUAAAGAAAGAGCCAUUUCUGUAAGUGCGUGCCUGCAGAAGAGCCAGCUGCUCUGACGGCUGCAGUGAUCAGUGCCAAAACUUCUUAAAGCAAGCAGGAAAGAGUUAAACAUAUUCCCAGGCUGUGAGUGUUUAGAGCCAGACCAGACUGUUCAUUCCCAAGCUGCUGAGAUCAUGGGCUCCUAAUUAUUAUCGCUUGCAAACUUUGGGGCUAUCCUAUAUUCUGCAUAAUUAACACUGGACAGCUGAUCGAUAAUCCACAGUCCUCCUCUCUCAUCCAGAUCUACAGUAACCCCGUGUUUUGGGAGCUCAUGUCUGGGAGUGGCACGGAGUAGUGCCUGGGGUGCAGCCAGGCCACCUGGGUUUUGUCGCUUUGUCCUUCAUGGUGUG